This 1426-nucleotide long non-coding RNA is filed under the name Rhinopithecus roxellana (golden snub-nosed monkey). Its description in RNAcentral is "lncRNA (ENSRROG00000045988.1)". The record is from RNAcentral. Lineage: Eukaryota; Metazoa; Chordata; Mammalia; Primates; Cercopithecidae.
UGACAGUCCGGAGGCCAGAACGGGGCAGGUUGCGUGAAGCGCAGAGGUUUCACAAAAACAAAAGGUGACGGCCCCGCGGCAGGGUCUAUCUAUGGCCGAGGCAGUGAAGCCCCAGCGCCGGGCCAAGGCCAAGGCCAGCCGGACUAAAACAAAGGAAAAGAAGAAAUAUGAAACCCUUCAGAGGGAAGAGUCCAAUGAAGUCUCCCUUCCAAAAACCUCCAGAGAGCAGGAAAUCCCUUCUCUAGCCUGUGAAUUCAAAGGAGACCAUCUGAAGGUGGUAACCGAUUCCCAGCUCCAGGAUGAUGCCAGUGGACAAAAUGAGAGUGAAAUGUUUGAUAUACCACUCACCUCCUUAACUAUAAGCAAUGAAGAAUCCCUGACGUGUAACACACAGCCCCCAAAGGAAGGGGGAGAGGCCACACCCUGUGUGGGGGACAGUGCAGUCACGCCAAAGGUCCAGCCUGGAGACAGUGUUGGAACUAUAGUAGAAACCCCCAAGAACUUCACAGAGGUAGAGGAAAAUACGUCAGUACAAGGUGGACUUUCAGAAAGUGCACCCCAAUCUAAUUUUUCUUGUACUCAGCCAGAAAUGGAAAAUAUACAAGUCAGAGAAACUCAGAAUAGUAAAGAAGACAAAGAAGGCCUGGUUUGUUCUUCAGAGGUGCCACAGAAUGUUGGCUUGCAGAGUUCUUGCGAAGCCAAACAUGUUUUUCAGACACCUAGAGUGAGGAAACUGUAUCCCCAGUUGCCAGCUGAAAUUGCCAGAGAAGCACCAGCUUUGGUGGCAGUGAAACCCUUGCUUCGUAGUGAGCGACUCUACCCAGAACUCCCAUCUCAACCAGAACUAGUACCAUUUACUAAAGAACAGCUAAAAAUCUUGGAGCCUGGUUCAUGGCUGGAAAAUGUUGAGUCAUAUUUAGAAGAAUUUGACAGCAUGGCUCAUCAAGACAGGCAUGAAUUUUAUGAGUUGCUUUUGAACUACUCACGAUGUAGGAAGCAACUGCUGCUGGCCGAAGCUGAGCUGCUUACUCUGACAUCUGAUUGCCAGAAUGCUAAAAGUCGGCUGUGGCAGUUUAAGGAGGAACAAAUGUCUGUACAGGGUAUCUGUGCAGAUCAAGUGAAGGUUUCCAGCUAUCAUCGCUACCAAAGAGUAGAAAUGAAUGAAAAUGCACUGAUGGAGCUAAAGAAGCUAUUUGAUGCCAAAGCUGAACACCUCCACCAGACCCUGGCCCUUCAUUCUUAUACUUCUGUGCUCUCAAGGUUGCAAGUGGAGUCUUACAUCUAUGCAUUGCUCAGUAGUUCAGCUGUUCUGAGAUCUUUAGUAAUUCACCAGCAAGGCCAAGGUGUCCGUGUUACAAAGAGUUGGCUGUCCUGGAGAUCACCUCUUCCUUCUAAACCAUAUUCUUCGAUGCCCCGCUGGUGUUAG